AUGAUCUACAAUCACUUUAGGGCUUCAUUGCAAGAACAGACUACAGAGAAGGCAUCGAGCAGCUGUUGGUCCCCUGAUGGUUGGGGCACUGCAGUGCAUCCCCCUCCCACCCAGACAGCUUCGGGUCCAUCUGACUUUGGAAUUGCCCAUGGGUUCUCCUUUCUGCCAAACAUUUGCAGAGGGAAAGGGAAAAUAAGGAAAAGAGAGGAAAACACUUAUAGCUGCCAAUCUGUUGCUCGCAAAGCCAUGAAAAGCAUCCUGAGAGAGACGAGCACAUGUUGUAAGAAAGGAAAAGGACUCUGUGCAUCAUCGGCGCCGAAGAGCCUUCCCCCUGCCACUUGUCUCCAGGCUGCUGGGCCUGGAGGAGGGCUGAGAUGCCCGACUGCUCCCUCCUCUCAGCCUUACCAGGCCAUAAAGCCAGUGGAGGUGGCCUCAUGCCAGGAUGUUUGCGUGUAAACACUUCAGCUCACUGCUGGCUCUCAGCAGAGCAGGGAUCUGCCCUCCAAAAAUGCACCAGUGAGGAGCACCCGGAUGGUGACCCCAAAGCUGGACACGGGAGUUCUGUUCCUUAUAAGCCACGAUAUGUCACAACAGAGGUGCCACACACAUGAGCACUUUUCCCUCCUGUGUCCCUUGAGCAGCUCAGGACCACCGUGACUUUCAAAGAGCUGAAUAUAUCAGGAGGGGGGUUGGCUCAUCCUUGGCUCCGAUGAUUGUUCCCAAUGCAGGCAAUAGAUCACUUCUUGGAAAGGAAGGGUAAAUCUGGUCUCCAAAAAGUGUUCAAUGCAAGAAAACAUUCAACACAGUGACAAAACACGGAUAUCUCACGUGGAGAGAGCUCAGUGCCAAUUGGUGGCUGUCAUGGUCAUGGUCAUGGCUAUGGUUAUGGUUAUGGUUAGCUGCAAUUUUGAGCUUCACAGAAAGCAAGCUCUCAAGCAUUUUGCCAGUGGACUGGCCACGUAACUGGCAACUGAAGUAAGCAAAAGCUGCAAGUUGUGCUGUCGGUGUGAAAACAUUUCCAUUUUCAACAGAUCUAUUUUGAAUUUUCAUCCCAAAGUGAAAACAUCUCUAUUUGUUCAACAUUUGUUGUUGGUCUGUUUUUUGGGUACGUCUUUUUUUUUUUUUAAUAACAGUGACAACAUUUCUCAAGUGGGAAAAAACAACAUAGUUUAGCUUAAAAAAAGACCAAUUCUCUGCCAGAAGCAUCGAUGGAAAUGUUUCAAAUAGGCCUCUGAUGAAGUAAUCUGAACAUAUGCCAUCAGACCCAAGAUCUGAACUUAUCUAAUAGCCCUUGUUGGACUGGUUUCCUGGGGAAAUGAGGCUGUAAAAUCACACCUUCUCUGUGACUAUUUGUCACCUUUCCACCCUGAAACUUUGGCACACCUGGGCAGAUUUCAAGCACAGAUGGGAUGAAAUCUUGAAGAUAAUUGGCUUGUGACAAAGUUCUCAAAAAUCACAGUCCAGAUUCAGUUCUAUUGGCUUUUCUAACUGGGAAAAAAAAUAAAAUAAAAAAGAAAAGGUGAUAAGUAGCA
RNAcentral lists this long non-coding RNA (1532 nucleotides) under Phasianus colchicus (ring-necked pheasant). RNAcentral's name for it is "lncRNA (ENSPCLG00000003918.1)". The record is from RNAcentral. Lineage: Eukaryota; Metazoa; Chordata; Aves; Galliformes; Phasianidae.